CUGCUGUCCCAGUUUACACGGUGGUGCUGCACCUCAAGAACGAGCUCAACCGCGGCACUUUCUUCAUGACCCUGCAGAACCAGCCCGUGGCCCUCAGCCUGUACCGCCAGUUCUGCCGGCACCAGGAGCGGGAGACGCUGAAGGAUUUG
Molecule: non-coding RNA, 149 nt
Organism: Cyanistes caeruleus (blue tit)
Lineage: Eukaryota; Metazoa; Chordata; Aves; Passeriformes; Paridae
Source: RefSeq, a predicted model, not a curated record